RNAcentral lists this ribosomal RNA (386 nucleotides) under uncultured prokaryote. RNAcentral's name for it is "bacterial SSU rRNA". It matches the Rfam family "Archaeal small subunit ribosomal RNA", at positions 339 to 725 of the family's 1478-position model. The record is from RNAcentral.
GCGCGAAAACUUUACAAUGCUGGCAACAGCGAUAAGGGAACCUCGAGUGCCAGGUUACAAAUCUGGCUGUCGAGAUGCCUAAAAAGCAUUUCAUAGCAAGGGCCGGGCAAGACCGGUGCCAGCCGCCGCGGUAACACCGGCGGCUCGAGUGGUAACCGUUAUUAUUGGGUCUAAAGGGUCUGUAGCCGGCCGGAUAAGUCUCUUGAGAAAUCUGGCAGCUUAACUGUCAGGCUUUCAGGAGAUACUGUCUGGCUCGAGGCCGGGAGAGGUGAGAGGUACUUCAGGGGUAGGGGUGAAAUCUUGUAAUCCUUGAAGGACCACCAGUGGCGAAGGCGUCUCACCAGAACGGACCUGACGGCAAGGGACGAAAGCUAGGGGAGCGAACG